UGCAUCCCUCAAGCACUGCUUGGUAUUGGGCGUCGCCCCCGUGGCGCGCCUGGAUUUCAGUGGCGGUCCGGCGAGACUUCAAGCGUAGCAAGAUUUUCACAUCCCGCUUUCGAAGCCUUCUCGCCGCGCGCCGGCCAGACAACCCCCGCAACAUACCAAUGAUUGACCUCGGAUCAGGUAGGGAUACCCGCUGAACUUAA
This 200-nucleotide unclassified non-coding RNA is filed under the name soil metagenome. RNAcentral describes it as "partial contains internal transcribed spacer 2 and large subunit ribosomal RNA". The record is from RNAcentral.